GUGUUUUGGGUUCAUCGCCUGAUUUGGAGGCAGGAGUUGGAGUGCCUUCAACUCCCAUCUCGGCUCUUAGAUCAUUGAUGCUUUGCUCCAGCUCAUUGAUUCUGCCUCCCAUGUCAUCGAGUGAAAUCAUCAAAGUCAAGGAAAUUACGGUUUAAACCAACACAAAUUGCUGAUAAAAGAUUCAGUGAUUCGAGUUCCUACAGAUUCCGAACUUAUAUCAGUGAUCAUGAGAGAGCUUAACAUAGAGCCAUGUGGACAUCUAGAAUCUCAAUAAAUACUUUAAUCUAAUCUGGCAGUAGAUAAUUGUAUUAGUAUCCGUUAAUGGCAGAAAUAAACUAAUACUAGUGAUCAAGAUUUCCUCCACCCUCUAGGAGGGAGGGAAACAUUUUCAAAUUAUUCCAAAGGAAGAAACAUUAAAUAUAUGAAUGAUA
Brassica rapa (field mustard) is the source of this 431-nucleotide long non-coding RNA. RefSeq lists it as uncharacterized. NCBI's taxonomy places the organism in Eukaryota, Viridiplantae, Streptophyta, Magnoliopsida, Brassicales, Brassicaceae. The record is from RefSeq and is a predicted model, not a curated record.